UACGUAGGGUGCAAGCGUUGUCCGGAAUUAUUGGGCGUAAAGAGCUCGUAGGCGGUUUGUCGCGUCUGCUGUGAAAAACUCGGGGCUUAACUCCGGGCCUGCAGUGGGUACGGGCAGACUAGAGUGCGGUAGGGGGAGACUGGAAUUCCGUGGUGUAGCGGUGAAAUGCGCAGAUAUCAGGAGGAACACCGGGUGGCGGAAGGCGGGUCUCUGGGCCGUAACUGACGCUGAGGAGCGAAAGCGUGGGGAGCGAACAGG
RNAcentral lists this ribosomal RNA (258 nucleotides) under uncultured bacterium. RNAcentral's name for it is "partial 16S ribosomal RNA". It matches the Rfam family "Bacterial small subunit ribosomal RNA", at positions 524 to 776 of the family's 1533-position model. The record is from RNAcentral.